RNAcentral lists this long non-coding RNA (1477 nucleotides) under Homo sapiens (human). Its description in RNAcentral is "non-protein coding LINC00882:26". Lineage: Eukaryota; Metazoa; Chordata; Mammalia; Primates; Hominidae. The record is from RNAcentral.
CUCAGAAGUUAUUUCCUAAUGUGCCAGAAAUGUUUGUGAAUUUGGUUUUAUAGCCUAUUUGAUCAUCCUUUUUAGGUGGAGACCUAUUCUGUUGGGUUAGAGAUGACAGAAAAUCUUAUUUGUCGGUUGGUUUGUUUGUUCAAGAAUACACUGACCUUCUACAAGAAAGGAGAGCUCUUUGACACCUGGAAAUUUUACAGAAGCUUGGGACAGCUCUGAAUGGCAACACGGUCCUGAGAUAUGUGAUUACCUGGGACUUUCAUUGGACCUGCAUUUCAGCUCUACUCUCCUCACUGCCCUAUGCUGCUUUGACCCUAAAAGUGAAGCCAGCUUGGCCAGGUGCAGUGACUCACACCUGUAAUCCCAGCACUUUGGGAGGCCGAGGUGGGCAAAUCAAGAAGUCAGGAAAUCGAGACCACCCUGGCCAACAUUGUGAAACACCAUCUCUACUAAAACACAAAAAAAUUAGCCAGGUGUGGUGGCACGCACCUGUAGUCCCAGCUACUCGGGAGGCUGAGGCAGGGGAAUCACUUGAACCCGUGAGGAGGAAAUUGCAGCGAGCCAAGAUCGCGCCACUGCACCCCAGCCUGGGCGACAGAGAGAGACUCCAUCUCAAAAACAAAACAAAACAAAACAAAAAAAACAAAAAGUGAAGCCAACUCAAUUGUCUCAUAGAACUGAUCUUUACGGUGUUUUUAAAUAAACAUAGAAAUUGGCCCUCCCAGUCUUAAAACUUCAAAAACUUACAUUUGUCUUACCUCAGUUCCUUUCUCAGGAAUCCAAUCAUCAAGGCUCCCAGAUAGUAUCAAUGAACGGAAACUUACCAGAUCACGAUAUCUGGACAAUGAGAUGUCAGAUCCCCCUCAUCCAUCCUGAUUACCUAACUGACUACCUGCUUCCUGUUGGCCAACUACUCUUCCUUACCCCUCCCUAAUUCUUGUUUUCCCACAAAUGGUUACAUUUCUGUCCUGCUAUAGAAGCCCUUAAUUUUAAUUGGUCGAGGAGAUGGAUUUGAGACUGAUUUUUUGCUCUCCUUGGCUGUUGCACCUGAAUAGCCUUUUUCCCUGGCAAUACUUUUUGUCUCAGUGAUUGGCUUUCUGUGCAGUGAGCAAUGGGACCAAACUUCUGGUGUUUUGGUAACAAAUUUUGGUUUCCUGACUGUGAAUGCAUUGCUUGUGACUCAGCUGCCAUGAGCUGGGAGAGUUUCAAAAGCCCUCUAAGCAGCUACCUGACCAUUUUGGCCAGAGGUGGAUUUUCGUCUCUCCCCAUUUGGGCCCACUUCUGCCAACCCCAACCAUGUUCCUGAUUGCCUAGGAAGAACAGCCUUUGAAAUUUGACGUCUAUGUACAGAAAGAGUAAAAGACAAGCUUCUGUGGAAAGGGCAACAAACACUAUCACCCUCAGACCAGAGGUGAACAUCCUUUGCAGCAAGGUGAAAGAGAUACAAAACACCCUCUGCCCUUGAAGGAGAGACAGG